This 411-nucleotide ribosomal RNA is filed under the name Actinomycetes bacterium. RNAcentral's name for it is "Actinobacteria bacterium partial 16S ribosomal RNA". It matches the Rfam family "Bacterial small subunit ribosomal RNA", at positions 355 to 776 of the family's 1533-position model. The record is from RNAcentral. Lineage: Bacteria; Bacillati; Actinomycetota; Actinomycetes.
UGGGGAAUAUUGCACAAUGGGCGCAAGCCUGAUGCAGCGACGCCGCGUGGGGGAUGACGGCCUUCGGGUUGUAAACUCCUUUCGCUAGGGACGAAGCUUUUUGUGACGGUACCUAGAUAAGAAGCACCGGCUAACUACGUGCCAGCAGCCGCGGUAAUACGUAGGGUGCGAGCGUUGUCCGGAAUUACUGGGCGUAAAGGGCUCGUAGGUGGUUUGUCGCGUCGUCUGUGAAAUUCCGGGGCUUAACUCCGGGCGUGCAGGCGAUACGGGCAUAACUUGAGUACUGUAGGGGUAACUGGAAUUCCUGGUGUAGCGGUGAAAUGCGCAGAUAUCAGGAGGAACACCGAUGGCGAAGGCAGGUUACUGGGCAGUUACUGACGCUGAGGAGCGAAAGCAGGGGUAGCGAACAGG